Molecule: long non-coding RNA, 386 nt
Filed under: Vigna radiata
Lineage: Eukaryota; Viridiplantae; Streptophyta; Magnoliopsida; Fabales; Fabaceae
Description: long non-coding RNA (VRAD_LNC001633)
Source: RNAcentral
UAGUGUUUUUGUACCUCCGUUGCGAAAAAAAAAAAAAAGCUUGCUUGCGAGGAUGACAGUGGUGGCUGUUGUGCUGGAAAAAUAUAAAUUUUAGGUUGCGUUCUCUGACUGUAGUCUUUGAGAAGGAGAAAAGAGAGUAAAAAAGCUUGAGAAAGGAGAUGAGGGAUGCUGGGUAAUGGUACUGUGAGAGGAAGGAUGCUGGGAAAGAUAAUGGUGUUCUGAGAGUGAAUUCCGAUGCAUAAAAAUCACACUCUCUCUCUCUCUGGAAUUCAAUAUGAUCACACUCUCUCUCUGAAAUUCAAUAUGAUCACACUCUCUCCUCUGAAAUUCAAUAUGAUCACACUCUCUCCCUCUGAAAUUCAAUCUGCUGCACUGGAAUCUUUGAC